CGAUAUCGAUAACUAUAUUGAAAGUGAAAAGUGGAUGGAAUAAAUUUCCAAAUUCAACCACUAAUAAUUAAAUUAAAUUAGCUAAACUCGUUUUAAUACGACUUAUUUAGCAGCCAGCAAAACUAAACAACAACAAACAUGUGCGGCGGUUUCACCUGCUCGAAGAACGCGCUAAUUGCGCUCAACAUUUUGUAUGUGAUGAUUGGAUUCCUGCUGAUUGGAGUGGGCGUGUACGCGCGUGCCGCCUCCAUCGUGACCAACCUGCCGAUUGUGGGCGGCAUCCUGGCCUGCGGCGUCAUCCUCAUCUGCAUAUCCAUGCUGGGACUGGCGGGAGCCGUCAAGCACCACCAAGUGAUGCUCUUCUUCUACAUGAUCAUUCUGUUCAUGCUGUUCCUGAUCCAGUUCUCCAUUGCCAGCUCCUGCUUGGCCGUCAAUUCCGAGCAGCAGCAGCAGUUUGCCGAGCAGGGAUGGAUGACAGUGCCCACGGAUUUGCGGAAGCAAGUGCAGGACAGCCUGAAAUGCUGCGGAUUCAAUGCCACCGUACCGAGCACCACCUCCGUGGUGCCGCCGCCGGAUGAGCCCUCGUGCGAGCUGAUCAAUCAGCAGUGCUGUGCCCACUCCACCGAGGCGGACUGCCGUUGCGAACCCUGCGGACCCCUGCUGGAGGACAAGAUCGACUACGCCUUCAAGUUGUGCGGCGGCCUGGGCAUCUUCUUCAGCUUCACUGAGUUCGUUGGCGUCUGGCUAACAGUACGCUAUCGCAACCAGAAGGAUCCGCGCGGAUUGCCCAGCGCCUUUCUCUAAGUUAAACGCUAGGCGAGAACAAGAUAAACAUUUCCCAGAUACAGAAACAUCCAAAAGUUAUUUAGUGCAUGUAUCUCUCUGAUCUGUCUCUGCUAAAUGUUUUGGUGUUGCGAUGGAGGAUUUCAUGAGCUCUUGGGGCCCACAUACCAUAUAUAUACAAGCAUCCUUUAUAUUUAUACCAUCUACAGAUACAUAUAUACAUAUAUAUUUAAUCACAUUGCCGCAGAACUAUGUACGUAAUGUGUUAGGUCGUAAUUGAUAUACAACUUUAGACAUAUAUACAUAUUAUAGAGAGAUAUAUAUAGAAGAGGAGAGAGCUACGCGUUUAACCCACUUAAGAACCCGAAAGCAAGCAAUCAGCAAAGAAACAUAUUUCCUUUUACUCUCAACACACUUCCUUUAAAACUUCCCCCCAAAAAAAACAUUGUACUUACACUUGACUGCCUGCUCUUUGACUAAGCGUAAAUCCGACAAGUGGCCAAGGGUCUUGGCCGUUUUCCUGGCGCGUCGCUACCGCAAUCAACACGAUCCCUGCUAUCUGCCUGCCCGCGCCGUCUUUCCGCACGAUUAUCUGUAUUGAACGGACUGAAAAGGGCUGAAAAGCACAAGAUGGAAGUGAAACAUUUUAGUCAAAGGGACGAAGGCUGAAUUCUUAAUUUUACAAUCGCGUUUCCUAGCGAGAAUCGAAUGCAAACUCGAACAAGAGAUUACGCUCCGGAGGAGGAGAACGUAGAGGAGGAGUAAUAAAUGUGCUCAACACUGCUGCUUCAUAAGAACAAGCCUAUUUUACCAUUCAAUCUGCUUUAAUUGCACAAAGUUAUCUAAUUAUUAAUACCUCCAUUGAGAUUAUGUUUAGAUGUAAUGUUGUAGUUUAAGUUCAUCUCCUUGAAACACCUUAGUUAGCUCUUAAUGCCUUUCUUUGCAACUCGCAACAAUCAUGAACGACUCGACGUGACUACUGACUCUAAACUACUGUACCACUACGAGACAAACAUUUCAACAACCUGAUCUUAACGUAGAACUAACAACCAAGUCAACAAUUGUAACUAGCAACGUAAUAAGUAUACAUCAACCUAUAUACAAAACGUAAUUGCAUUAUUGCCCUCGCGGCGUAUAAACAAUACUCUAAAUGUUAGUUGUGUGUUAAACUUUAAACUAGCGAGAAAAGCCCACAAAAUAACACAAAAAAAAAGAGUAACCCUCUAAGCAUACAUGUCAACAAUUAUACAAGUCUAUACGGAUAAGAGAACUGCUUCUUCGAAUUUUCACUCCUUUUCCGCACUUGCUCGACUUUCUCUGCAGCUUUUCCUCCUUGACUCUCACCCGCGCCCCGCAAAAAGCCACCAAGAACAGAAACAAACACAUCACAACCGACACGCUUCUUCCUCUAGACACACAUCACACUCACAAGGAAAUAGUUUCCCCGCAGUUUCCUUUCCAGUUUCUUUUCGAGCGACAAAUAAACCAUUAGAUAAUAUUCUCUGUAUUCUGUGCUGUGAUUGAAGUAAAUAUGAUCUUUAAACAACAAAAGCAAAGGCGCAAUCAAGUUUUGAGUUUCAUUUCCCGCAUUUCCCCGAGUCCAAUUAAUGAGCGACACACCCCCGCGGAUUUCGCGGCUUGUGAUAUCAUUAGCCAAGUGUCUCGGCUUACCACAGACAUCCUUGCGGGCCGGAAAAGGUGGCAGACGGUGGAAUAAGGAUAUUGAUUUAAUGGAAGCAAAGAACAUUUUUUAUUAUGUUAGAUUUAUUACUUUUAUGUUACGUUUAACGAAGCAGAAAUGUAAUUCUUUGUAUAAUUUUAAGCCUCCUUGUAUCGAAUAUUUUAUGUCCAUUGUAUUUCAAAUUAUGUUUUAAUAAGGAUUUAAAUAAUAUAGAGCCUUAAAACAAGGUUCAAAUAUGAUCCAUUUUUAAUGACAUGUCAAAAAUAUUUGUUUUUUAUUUUGAUCAAAAGAAAUCCAAUUUAUAAAUUUAUUGUGAGCUGUAUAUUUUAUUUACUUUUAAAUUUCCCUUUGCAUUGGAUUCUUGAUUAUUUGUAUAAUUUUAAGCUAUAUCGAAUAUUUUAUAUCAUUUAUAUUAAUAAUUUUCUGUUACUAAGAACCAUAAAUUAUGUAAAUGUCUUUUUAAAUAUUGUCAAAAAUAUUUGUUCGUCAAUUUGAUCAUAUAUUUUCUGUGAAUUAUAUGUAUAUGUAAUAGA
This is an RNA transcript of Drosophila biarmipes, 2997 nucleotides long. It is a transcript of the gene named tetraspanin-13, with no coding region annotated. Lineage: Eukaryota; Metazoa; Arthropoda; Insecta; Diptera; Drosophilidae. The transcript has 5 exons. The record is from RefSeq and is a predicted model, not a curated record.